UACAGAGGUCCCAAGCGUUGUUCGGAUUUACUGGGCGUAAAGGGUGCGUAGGCGGCCAAAAAAGUCUGAUGUGAAAUCUCGGUGCUCAACUCCGAAACUGCAUUGGAUACUAGUUGGCUAGAGGAGUGGAAGGGAGACUGGAAUUCUCGGUGUAGCAGUGAAAUGCGUAGAUAUCGAGAGGAACACCAGUGGCGAAAGCGAGUCUCUGGCCACUUCCUGACGCUGAGGCACGAAAGCCAAGGGAGCAAACGGG
This 253-nucleotide ribosomal RNA is filed under the name uncultured bacterium. RNAcentral describes it as "partial 16S ribosomal RNA". It matches the Rfam family "Bacterial small subunit ribosomal RNA", at positions 524 to 776 of the family's 1533-position model. The record is from RNAcentral.